UCGUUCUGGGUCAUCGACGGCUUCCUGCGCCCCCCCCCCUGCAAUGACACGGCGCCCCCCUUAGGGGGCGCGCCCUACGGUUUGGGAACCUCUGGUUUAGAGCAUCUGGAAAAUGGUUUGUGGUGCUAACAGUGAAGUUUCCUGAGGUUAUCUAUCGGUUGCUUCCAAGGAAAACCUCUGAGGAAGACCUCUUCCUCCCAACAACACCGCCUUGAUUACAGAGCCAAACAUCCUCCUCACAGCGCCUUUGGGUUUUCUGCCUGACUCAGAGCCGCGACACGAGGAGAAAUCCAAACACAUCUUAACUCCACACUGAAAGACGUUUUGAAACAAGCUCGGUCAGGGCAGUUUUAUUUUUCUUGCAUAUUGUGAAAUAAUUAUUUGGUCUAAAUUGCAGCAUUAAGUUAAAACUCCCAAUUCAAGAUUAAUGAAGUUAAAUGAUGUUUAGACAUCUUGUCUCUUGUUGUUAAAUCGACUUCAUGAACUUUAAUUUCUGAGUUUAAACCAAACCAAUUUCCUUGUUGAUUAAAUUGCAGCAGGUGGACUUUUAUUUUCAAGUUAAGUCACCUUCAAAUGUUUUACAGUGCACCCAGAAAACUGCAAUUAGACUUUUCAGUAAAUCUACUAAAUUUACUCGUACCACCUCGAUCUUAUGCUCUCUACACCAACUUCAUAUGGAUUUCAGAGUCUUUAUUUAUAGUUCUUGUUCUCGUCUACAGAGCUACGAAUGGCCUGGUUCCAUUAUUUAUGUCAGUUUUUCACCAAACGCUCUGCUGCCACACGUUCUUCCAGGUACUCUGUUAAAGGGGAAGUAUUAUCUAAAAUCAACUUUUUUUAAGCUUUACAUCAUGUUGUAAUGUUUUCCCCUCA
This is a long non-coding RNA of Poecilia latipinna (sailfin molly), 870 nucleotides long. RefSeq lists it as uncharacterized. The transcript has 3 exons. Lineage: Eukaryota; Metazoa; Chordata; Actinopteri; Cyprinodontiformes; Poeciliidae. The record is from RefSeq and is a predicted model, not a curated record.